GACGAACGCUGGCGGCGUGCUUAACACAUGCAAGUCGAACGGAAAGGCCCUGCUUUUGUGGGGUGCUCGAGUGGCGAACGGGUGAGUAACACGUGAGUAACCUGCCCUUGACUUUGGGAUAACUUCAGGAAACUGGGGCUAAUACCGGAUAGGAGCUCCUGCUGCAUGGUGGGGGUUGGAAAGUUUCGGCGGUUGGGGAUGGACUCGCGGCUUAUCAGCUUGUUGGUGGGGUAGUGGCUUACCAAGGCAUUGACGGGUAGCCGGCCUGAGAGGGUGACCGGGCACAUGGGGACUGCGAUACGGCCCAGACUCCUACGGGAGGCAGCAGUGGGGAAUAUGGCCCAAUGGGCGGAAGCCUGAUGCAGCAACGCCGCGUGCGGGAUCACGGCCUUCGGGUUGUAAACCGUUUUCGCCUGUGACGAAGCGUGAGUGACGGUAAUGGGUAAAGAAGCACCGGCUAACUACGCG
Molecule: ribosomal RNA, 468 nt
Filed under: uncultured bacterium
Lineage: Bacteria
Description: partial 16S ribosomal RNA
Rfam family: Bacterial small subunit ribosomal RNA
Source: RNAcentral